AUGCGGGAGGACGAGUUAUUGUGUGAUGCAUGGUUGACCACUAGCCUCAAUCCGAUCCAUGACAUGGAGCAAAAGGGAAUAACUUUUUCGGCCAACAUUCACACAUGAUUCCAUGAACACAAGCAUUUGCCCUACUCCGACGUGGUCAUUCGUAACAGUGAAUAAAAGUCCAUCAACCAUAGAUGGUACACCAUCCAAGAGGUCGUCGAAUAUUGCGGCCACUUGGCACAUCUCAUCGCAUAGUGUCCUAGUGGUGCGCAAAUCACCGAGCAAGUAAGUUCAUUUGCUGGAUAUGCAUAG
RNAcentral lists this ribosomal RNA (300 nucleotides) under Triticum aestivum (bread wheat). Its description in RNAcentral is "partial small subunit ribosomal RNA". The record is from RNAcentral. Lineage: Eukaryota; Viridiplantae; Streptophyta; Magnoliopsida; Poales; Poaceae.